This 93-nucleotide transfer RNA is filed under the name Phrynocephalus guttatus melanurus. Its description in RNAcentral is "tRNA-Asn". The record is from RNAcentral. Lineage: Eukaryota; Metazoa; Chordata; Lepidosauria; Squamata; Agamidae.
AAGCUUAUAAUGUUAAGAUUUGUAAACUGAUGCCUGCUAGUUUAGGUAAAUAGCUGUUAACUAUUUUUUGCGGGAUCGAGGCCUGCCGGUUUU